This 501-nucleotide ribosomal RNA is filed under the name uncultured bacterium. RNAcentral describes it as "bacterial SSU rRNA". It matches the Rfam family "Bacterial small subunit ribosomal RNA", at positions 29 to 524 of the family's 1533-position model. The record is from RNAcentral.
AACGAACGCUGGCGGCGCGCCUAAUACAUGCAAGUCGAGCGAGAAGACGUAGCAAUACGUUUGUAAAGCGGCGAACGGGUGAGGAAUACAUGGGUAACCUACCCUCGAGUGGGGAAUAACUAGCCGAAAGGUUAGCUAAUACCGCGUACGCUCCUUGGACUUCGGUUCAGGGAGGAAAGCGAUACCGUGGGUAUCGCGCUCUUGGAUGGGCUCAUGUCCUAUCAGCUUGUUGGUGAGGAACGGCUCACCAAGGCUUCGACGGGUAGCUGGUCUGAGAGGACAAUCAGCCACACUGGCACUGCGACACGGGCCAGACUCCUACGGGAGGCAGCAGUAAGGAAUAUUGCGCAAUGGGCGAAAGCCUGACGCAGCGACGCCGCGUGGGGGAUGAAGGUCUUCGGAUUGUAAACCCCUUUCGGGAGGGAAGAUGGAACGAGCAAUCGUUCGGACGGUACCUCCAGAAGCAGCCACGGCUAACUUCGUGCCAGCAGCCGCCGUAAC